GAUGAAGAACGUAGCGAAAUGCGAUAAGUAAUGCGAAUUGCAGAAUUUCCGUGAGUCAUCGAAUCUUUGAACGCACAUUGCGCCCAUUGGUAUUCCGAUGGGCAUGCCUGUUCGAGCGUCAUUAUCUUCCCUCAAACCUCGCGUUUGGUGUUGGGCCGUGCUGGUUCCUGCGUGACCAACUGGCCUCAAAGACAAUGACGGCGUCCGUGGGACCCUCGAUGCAACGAGCUUCUCAGGAGCACGCGUCGAGUUUCAAGGACCUUCCGGGCCGGUCUCUCCUCAUGUGAUUACAAGGUUGACCUCGGAUCAGGUAGGGAUACCCGCUGAACUUAAGCAUAUCAAUAAGCGGAGGA
This 353-nucleotide unclassified non-coding RNA is filed under the name soil metagenome. Its description in RNAcentral is "partial contains 5.8S ribosomal RNA, internal transcribed spacer 2, and large subunit ribosomal RNA". The stretch from base 1 to 121 matches the Rfam family "5.8S ribosomal RNA", at positions 35 to 154 of the family's 154-position model. The record is from RNAcentral.